This 31-nucleotide non-coding RNA is filed under the name Macaca fascicularis (crab-eating macaque). RNAcentral also lists the same sequence under 1 other name. Lineage: Eukaryota; Metazoa; Chordata; Mammalia; Primates; Cercopithecidae. The record is from RNAcentral.
UGAGUUUGUUAAAAUGUGCUGGACAUCCAGA